Podospora conica is the source of this 159-nucleotide non-coding RNA. Lineage: Eukaryota; Fungi; Ascomycota; Sordariomycetes; Sordariales; Podosporaceae. The record is from the annotation of a GenBank genome assembly.
GGGCCGCUGGUCUAGUGGUAUGAUUCUCGUAAGUCCUCCUCACUGCACAACAAACACCCACAUCUGUGGAUUCAUCAAGACUGACCGUUCGAACAGGCUUAGGGUUCACCCUAAAGUACAAAUUGCGAGAGGUCCCGGGUUCAAUCCCCGGGUGGCCCC